Molecule: ribosomal RNA, 546 nt
Filed under: uncultured bacterium
Lineage: Bacteria
Description: partial 16S ribosomal RNA
Rfam family: Bacterial small subunit ribosomal RNA
Source: RNAcentral
UGGGGAAUAUUGCACAAUGGGCGCAAGCCUGAUGCAGCCAUGCCGCGUGUGUGAAGAAGGCCUUCGGGUUGUAAAGCACUUUCAGCGAGGAGGAAGGUGGUGGACUUAAUACGUUCAUCAAUUGACGUUACUCGCAGAAGAAGCACCGGCUAACUCCGUGCCAGCAGCCGCGGUAAUACGGAGGGUGCAAGCGUUAAUCGGAAUUACUGGGCGUAAAGCGCACGCAGGCGGUUUGUUAAGUCAGAUGUGAAAAUCCCCCGGGCUCAACCUGGGAACUGCAUUUGAAACUGGCAAGCUAGAGUCUCGUAGAGGGGGGUAGAAUUCCAGGUGUAGCGGUGAAAUGCGUAGAGAUCUGGAGGAAUACCGGUGGCGAAGGCGGCCCCCUGGACGAAGACUGACGCUCAGGUGCGAAAAGCGUGGAGAGCAAAACAGGAUUAGAUACCCUGGUAGUCCACGCUGUAAAACGAUGUCGAUUUGGAGGUUGUGCCCUUGAGGCGUGGCUUCCGGAGUUAACGCGUUAAAUCGACCGCCUGGGGGAGUACGGCC